GACGAACGCUGGCGGCGUGCUUAACACAUGCAAGUCGAGCGGUAAGGCCCUUUCGGGGGUACGACGAGCGGCGAACGGGUGAGUAACACGUGGGUGACCUGCCCUCAGCUCUGGGAUAAGCCUGGGAAACCGGGUCUAAUACUGGAUAUGACUCCAUGACGCAUGUUGUGGGGUGGAAAGCCUUGUGCGGCUGAGGAUGGGCCCGCGGCCUAUCAGCUUGUUGGUGGGGUGAGGCCUACCAAGGCGACGACGGGUAGCCGGCCUGAGAGGGCGACCGGCCACACUGGGACUGAGACACGGCCCAGACUCCUACGGGAGGCAGCAGUGGGGAAGUCUUGCGCAAUGGGCGAAAGCCUGACGCAGCGACGCCGCGUGAGGGAUGACGG
RNAcentral lists this ribosomal RNA (386 nucleotides) under uncultured bacterium. RNAcentral's name for it is "bacterial SSU rRNA". It matches the Rfam family "Bacterial small subunit ribosomal RNA", at positions 28 to 414 of the family's 1533-position model. The record is from RNAcentral.